This 540-nucleotide long non-coding RNA is filed under the name Daucus carota (carrot). RNAcentral describes it as "long non-coding RNA (DCAR_LNC005505)". Lineage: Eukaryota; Viridiplantae; Streptophyta; Magnoliopsida; Apiales; Apiaceae. The record is from RNAcentral.
AGGGUUUUACACACGAGAAAUAAAAAUACAUUGACCAAGUCACACGGGCCUCGACCGCUGCGAAAAUCCACUAAAAAGCUGUAAAAAUCGGCCCGGGGAAGUUCUGCUGGGCGCGGCCGCGCUAACUUAGCGCAGGCGCGCUAGUCACAGCAGUUAGUAGCGCGGGCGCGCUAACAAGUAGCGCGGGCGCGCUACUGUCUGUGAUGGCAGCCCCGUUUCUUCGUUUCUCGCUCGUUCUCGCGUGCAUGUCCUUCCUCGCUUCUAGUACCACUUCCGUAGGUGAUCACGGUUGCAUUUAGCAUAUGCAACAAGCCCUUUAAACCCCUAGAUAGCUCUAGUGGACGAGUGUGCUCUCGUGAGGGUUUGUAGAAGAUAUACCCACAAAAUCCCAAGUCGCGGUGAAUCCACAAUUCUCUAUUCUUGCAAAUAAUGCACCAAAACCAACCUAAAAUGAUAGAAAAUCACUUCAUCACCUCAACUCGUGACCUGCACAGAAAAACAAUAAAAACACAUCAAAAGACACUAAACACUUAAGUACAA